Hipposideros armiger (great roundleaf bat) is the source of this 663-nucleotide long non-coding RNA. RefSeq lists it as uncharacterized. The transcript is spliced from 3 exons. The record is from RefSeq and is a predicted model, not a curated record. NCBI's taxonomy places the organism in Eukaryota, Metazoa, Chordata, Mammalia, Chiroptera, Hipposideridae.
CUGCCCCUGAAAGCCAUGGGUUUUUGUGCUGAGGUAUUUCUCAGGGAUGAGAGGGCAGAGUCUGGGCCUCAUUUGCACAGGAAGUUACUGGAAGAUAUGCACCAUCAAGACGAGGGAGUAUAUUAAGGAAGAAGAAGACAUGGAAUCCAUACAACUGUGGGUAGAGUUGCCUUGGCACUAAGCAGCACAGAGGGAAAAUGAAGAAAAGGAGGGACAGAGGAAGAAUGAAGCAAUGAGAAUGUCUACAUGGCCAAGUUCUGGUUAUUGAGAAGUUAACAAGGAUGAUUGCACCCUUAAAAGAAACGCCCUCCUUAUUCCCUCUUUCCUUGGUUGGAACAUGGACAUUGAUUGUGGUGAGCCUCCUUUAACCAUGUGCAUAAGCCAAACAUCCUAAGAGUCCUAGCAACAAGCUAGGAGGAGCCUGGGUUCCUAACAUUGUACAUCAACCAUAUUAUUCCUGGACUAUUUACACUUAGACUGUUACACACAGUCUCAUCCAAGCCUUUAUUAUUUUGGGUCUUGCUAGAGCAGCCAAACUUGUAUCCUAGCUAACACAACCUCUUUUGGGGUGCCAGGGCAGUUACAAUCUCCCCUUAUCCAAGAUUCCCCCACUCUACUCACCCAGGAGGUAGUCUAGAGAGAUUAUCAUAGUGGUCUAUGAAU